This 254-nucleotide ribosomal RNA is filed under the name uncultured bacterium. RNAcentral describes it as "partial 16S ribosomal RNA". It matches the Rfam family "Bacterial small subunit ribosomal RNA", at positions 524 to 776 of the family's 1533-position model. The record is from RNAcentral.
UACGUAGGGUUCAAGCGUUAUCCGGAAUCACUGGGCGUAAAGCGUGCGUAGGUGGUUUGUUAAGUGUAUUGCGAAAUCCUGUGGCUCAACCAUAUGGACUGUAAUGCAUACUGGCAAACUAGAGGACAUGAGGGGCAACCGGAAUUCCCAGUGUAGCGGUGAAAUGCGUAGAUAUUGGGAAGAACACCUGAGGCGAAGGCGGGUUGCUGGGCCGACACUGACGCUGAGGCGCGAAAGCCAGGGGAGCAAACGGG